Molecule: ribosomal RNA, 403 nt
Filed under: uncultured bacterium
Lineage: Bacteria
Description: partial 16S ribosomal RNA
Rfam family: Bacterial small subunit ribosomal RNA
Source: RNAcentral
AUUGAACGCUGUCGGCAGGCCUAACACAUGCACGUCGAGCGAGCGGAGGACGGGUGAGUAAUGUAUGGGGACUGCCCGAUAGAGGGGGAUAACUACUGGAAACGGUGGCUAAUACCGCAUACUAUCGGAUAACCCAUAUGGGAUUAGCGAGUAGGUGGGGUAAAGUCUCAACUAGGCGACGAUCUCUAGCUGGUCUGUGAGGAUGAUCAGCCACACUGUGACUGAGACACGGCUCAGACUCCUACGGAGGCAGCAGUGGGGAAUAUUGCACAAUGGGCGCAAGCCUGAUGCAGCCAUGCCGCGUGGAUGAAGACGGCCUUAGGGUUGUAAAGUACUUUCAGCGGGGAGGCGUUACCCGCAGAAGAAGCACCGGCUAACUCCGUGCCAGCCGCCGCGGUAAUUC